Molecule: ribosomal RNA, 408 nt
Filed under: uncultured Candidatus Sumerlaeota bacterium
Lineage: Bacteria; Candidatus Sumerlaeota
Description: bacterial SSU rRNA
Rfam family: Bacterial small subunit ribosomal RNA
Source: RNAcentral
ACAUGUACGUGGUACGGAUCUGAAAGGUAGAAGGACCCGGGUCUUCGGACUGGGAGCGUACACAGGUGCUGCAUGGCUGCCGUCAGCUCGUGUCGUGAGAUGUUGGGUUAAGUCCCGCAACGAGCGCAACCCCUGCUGCCAGUUGCCAUCAGUUCGGCUGGGCACUCUAUGGAGACUGCCACCUAAAGUGGAGGAAGGUGGGGAUGACGUCAAGUCAGCAUGGCCCUUACGUCCGGGGCUACACACGUGCUACAAUGGCCGGUACAAAGGGUUGCGAAGCCGUGAGGUGGAGCGAAUCUCAAAAAGCCGGCCUCAGUUCGGAUUGGAGGCUGCAACUCGCCUCCAUGAAGUCGGAAUCGCUAGUAACCGCAGAUCAGCUACGUUGCGGUGAAUACGUUCCCGGGCCUU